GUUUUUGUUGAACUACAGAGAAAGAUUGCAAGGAAUUGAAGGUGUUGAUAUGGCUGAUGUUAUUGCUCGAUCUCACGGGGGUGAUGGUGGAGGAUGCGAUCCUCCACGUGGACCGUCAGAUAUCCCAGCUGAUUGUGAAUGAGCGCCUCCAAACAAACGUGGACGCCACAAAGGAUUGAACACGCGGUAAAAAAGGGAACAGUUGGGGCGUCAUCUCCCUCUUGAGUGGGAUGUGCGAGGGAGAACAUAUAAAGAG
This is a long non-coding RNA of Humulus lupulus (European hop), 256 nucleotides long. RefSeq lists it as uncharacterized. The transcript has 3 exons. Lineage: Eukaryota; Viridiplantae; Streptophyta; Magnoliopsida; Rosales; Cannabaceae. The record is from RefSeq and is a predicted model, not a curated record.